AGAGUUUGAUCAUGGCUCAGAAUCAACGCUGGCGGCGCGCCUAACACAUGCAAGUCGAACGAGAAAGUGGAGCAAUCCAUGAGUACAGUGGCGUACGGGUGAGUAACACGUGGGUAAUCUACCUUUUAGUGAGGAAUAACCCUGGGAAACCGGGGCUAAUACCGCAUAAGCCUGAGAAGGGAAAGCAGCAAUGCGCUGAAAGAGGAGCCCGCGGCCGAUUAGCUAGUUGGUGAGGUAAGAGCCCACCAAGGCAGAGAUCGGUAGCCGGCCUGAGAGGGCACACGGCCACACUGGCACUGAAACACGGGCCAGACUCCUACGGGAGGCAGCAGUGGGGAAUCUUGCACAAUGGGGGAAACCCUGGUGCAGCGACGCCGCGUGAGCGAUGAAGCCCUUCGGGGUGUAAAGCUCUUUCGUCAGGGAAGAUGAUGACGGUACCUGGAGAAGCAGCUGCGGCUAACUACGUGCCAGCAGCCGCGGUAAUACGUAGGCAGCAAGCGUUGUUCGGAGUUACUGGGCGUAAAGGGUGUGUAGGCGGUUCUUUAAGUUUGGUGUGAAAUCUCCCGGCUCAACUGGGAGGGAGCGCCGAAUACUGAGGGACUAGAGUACGGGAGAGGAAAGUGGAAUUCCUGGUGUAGCGGUGAAAUGCGUAGAUAUCAGGAGGAACACCGGUGGUGUAGACGGCUUUCUGGACCGACACUGACGCUGAGACACGAAAGCGUGGGUAGCAAACAGGAUUAGAUACCCUGGUAGUCCACGCCCUAAACGAUGCAUAUUUGGUGUGGGCAGUUCAUUCUGUCCGUGCCGGAGCUAACGCGUUAAAUAUGCCGCCUGGGGAGUACAGUCGCAAGGCUGAAACUCAAAGGAAUUGACGGGGCCCGCACAAGCGGUGGAGCAUGUGGUUCAAUUCGACGCACGCGAAGAACCUUACCUGGGCUCGAACGGCUUCCCAACGGUGGUAGAAAAUAUCAUUACCCCCGCAAGGUGAU
This 989-nucleotide ribosomal RNA is filed under the name uncultured bacterium. RNAcentral describes it as "bacterial SSU rRNA". It matches the Rfam family "Bacterial small subunit ribosomal RNA", at positions 8 to 1028 of the family's 1533-position model. The record is from RNAcentral.